GAUGAACGCUGGCGGCGUGCCUAAUACAUGCAAGUCGAACGCUGGAAAUCUAGCUUGCUAGAUUGAAGGAGUGGCGAACGGGUGAGUAAUACAUAAGCAACCUACCCACGAAGACUGGGAUAAUCUCUGGAAACGGGGACUAAUACCGGAUAGGUAAUCGGAAGGCAUCUUCUGAUUAUUAAAGGUUAAAAACACUGGUGGAUGGGCUUAUGGCGCAUUAGUUAGUUGGUGAGGUAACGGCCCACCAAGACGAUGAUGGGUAGCCGGCCUGAGAGGGUGAACGGCCACAUUGGGACUGAGACACGGCCCAGACUCCUACGGGAGGCAGCAGUAGGGAAUUUUCGGCAAUGGGGGAAACCCUGACCGAGCAACGCCGCGUGAGUGAUGACGGCCUUCGGGUUGUAAAGCUCUGUUGUAAGGGAAGAACGGUAGAUAGAGAAUAUCUAAAUGACGGUACCUUACCAGAAAGCCACGGCUAACUACGUG
This 486-nucleotide ribosomal RNA is filed under the name uncultured bacterium. RNAcentral's name for it is "partial 16S ribosomal RNA". It matches the Rfam family "Bacterial small subunit ribosomal RNA", at positions 28 to 507 of the family's 1533-position model. The record is from RNAcentral.